AUCGAUAAUCCACGUUAANUUUCACUUUAAUUUUAAAACUUAUAUACCGCCAUCUAAAGAAUUAAUUAAAAAAUAUUUCUCUAAAUAAUAUAUAAAAAGUUAGGUCAAGGUGUAAUCUAUAUUAAAGAACGAGAUGAAUUACAUUAAAUAUAAUUUAAAGAUUUCUUAUAAAUAUAUAAGAAAAAAUAAGGAUUUAAAAGUAAUAUUUUAAUAAUAAUAAUAUAUGAUAAAGAUAAUAAAUGUGCACACAUCGCCC
This 256-nucleotide ribosomal RNA is filed under the name Coelotinae sp. ZZ015. RNAcentral's name for it is "partial 12S ribosomal RNA". Lineage: Eukaryota; Metazoa; Arthropoda; Arachnida; Araneae; Agelenidae. The record is from RNAcentral.